This 440-nucleotide ribosomal RNA is filed under the name uncultured bacterium. Its description in RNAcentral is "partial 16S ribosomal RNA". It matches the Rfam family "Bacterial small subunit ribosomal RNA", at positions 338 to 795 of the family's 1533-position model. The record is from RNAcentral.
CCUACGGGUGGCAGCAGUGAGGGAUAUUGGUCAAUGGGGGAAACCCUGAACCAGCAACGCCGCGUGAGGGAAGACGGUUUUCGGAUUUUAAACCUCUGUCCUCUGUGAAGAUAAUGACGGUAGCAGAGGAGGAAGCUCCGGCUAACUACGUGCCAGCAGCCGCGGUAAUACGUAGGGAGCAAGCGUUGUCCGGAUUUGCUGGGUGUAAAGGGUGCGUAGGCGGCUUUGCAAGUCAGAAGUGAAAUCCAUGGGCUGAACCCAUGAACUGCUUUUGAAACUGCAGAGCUUGAGUGGAGUAGGGGUAGGCGGAAGUCCCGGUGUAGCGGUGAAAUGCGUAGAGAUCGGGAGGAACACCAGUGGCGAAGGCGGCCUACUGGGCUCUAACUGACGCUGAGGCACGAAAGCGUGGGUAGCAAACAGGAUUAGAUACCCGGGUAGUC